CCUGCGGAAGGAUCAAUA
RNAcentral lists this ribosomal RNA (18 nucleotides) under Inocybe atrorubripes. Its description in RNAcentral is "partial small subunit ribosomal RNA". The record is from RNAcentral. Lineage: Eukaryota; Fungi; Basidiomycota; Agaricomycetes; Agaricales; Inocybaceae.